AACGCACAUUGCGCCCCUUGGUAUUCCAUGGGGCAUGCCUGUUCGAGCGUCAUUUGUACCUUCAAGCUUUGCUUGGUGUUGGGUGUUUGUCUCGCCUCUGCGCGCAGACUCGCCUCAAAACAAUUGGCAGCCGGCGUAUUGAUUUCGGAGCGCAGUACAUCUCGCGCUUUGCACUCAUAACGACGACGUCCAAAAAGUACAUUUUUUACACUCUUGACCUCGGAUCAGGUAGGGAUACCCGCUGAACUUAA
RNAcentral lists this unclassified non-coding RNA (251 nucleotides) under uncultured fungus. Its description in RNAcentral is "sequence contains ITS2". The record is from RNAcentral. Lineage: Eukaryota; Fungi.